UUAUAUGAGAAGCUGCGAAAAUCUUAUGACCAUUUGUAUCGGGGUGUAUCAUCUCUAGCUGAAGUUGAUAUGCAACCUCCAGUGAUGCCUGAGGAUGGUCAUACUACGAGGGUAACUAGUGGAAAUAGAUGAUUCUUCUUCUUCUGCUGGAAAGGAAUCUUCUGCUGCUGAAGCUGUGUGGGAUGAUGAAGAUAUAUACAAGAGCUUUCUAUGAGUGUUUGCCUGAUCUUAGAGCAUUUGUUCCCGCAGUUUUAUUGGGGGAAGCUGAUUCAAAAUCUAGUGAGCACCGCCAUAAAAUCAGCCUGGGGAAAUCCAAACUGGUAAAAGAAUAUCGUAUGAAGCAUUACAUGUCAACAAUGAAGAAGAGGUUGUUAAACGAAAUUUGGUUUUUUAUUUUAUUUUUUUGGACGAAAAUUGUAAUAUUAUAGCC
Molecule: long non-coding RNA, 430 nt
Organism: Chenopodium quinoa (quinoa)
Lineage: Eukaryota; Viridiplantae; Streptophyta; Magnoliopsida; Caryophyllales; Amaranthaceae
Exons: 3
Source: RefSeq, a predicted model, not a curated record